UCCUGUGUUUGGUGCAUGUAUAUUUAUAAUAGUUAGAUCUUUUGUUGAAUUGAACCCCUUACUGUUAUGUAAUGCCCUUCUUUGUCUUUUUUAUACCUGCUGGUUUAAAGUCUAUGUUGUCUGAAAUUAGGAUAGCAACCAUAGCUUUUUUCUCUUUUUCAUUUGUUGGGUGAUAUGCUUUGGCUCUGUGUCCCCAACCACAUCUCAUGUUGAAUUGUUCCAAGUGUUAAAGGAGAGGCCUGGUGGAAGGUGACUGAAUCAUGGGGGUGGACUUCCCCCUUUGCUGUUUUCAUGAUAGAGUUCUCACAAGAUCUGAUUAUUUGGAAGUGUGUAAACCCCCCCCCCCCUCACUGUCUUUCUUCUGCUCUACCAUGUGAAUAUUGUACCUGGUUCCACUUCACCUUUCGUCAUGAUUAUAUGUUUCCUAAGGUCUCACCAGCCAUGCCUCUUAUACAGCCUGCCAAACUGUGAGUUAAUUCAAUCUCUUUUCUCCAUAAACUGCCCAGUCUCAGGUAUUUCUUUCUAGCAUAUAGCAGUAUGAAAACAGACUAAUAUACUUGGUAGAUGUUUCUCCAUCCUUUUAUUUUGAAUCUAUGUGUGUCAUGGCAUGUGAGAUGGAUCUCAUGAAGGCAGCAUACUACUGGACCUUGCUUCUUAUCCAACUUGCUACUCUGUCUUAUUUAAUUGGGGUUUUUAACCUAUUUACAUUCAAGAUGACUAAAAUAGAUGAAGUCACUUCCCAAUUAUCAGAUCAUGCAAGUUGUCUCCCAGGAGAGCAGUAUACCUGGGCAGAAAGGUAAGCAACAUUCUAAGAGAGAAAGGACAGAGAUCACCAAACAUUUCCCUUUUGAGGUAAACAUGGACCAGGUGGGUGAUUAUUUUGUUAACCUAAAUAACAAAAGGGGCUCUCUAAUAUUUUUUAAAAGCUACUUAUUUGGAAAUAGGAUACUGCAAUGGGGAUAAUCCUGCCAUAACAAACUAUACGCAUAUUCAGAGAAUAAAGAAGACAAAGGUUUUUUUAAAUAAAAAAUGAGGAGGAUUACAUAAUUGUUUUAAAAUUGUUAUCUUUGGAUACAAAGAUGAAUAAUAAGGGUGACUAGAGUCUGUGGUUGGACAGACAGUUGCUCAAUAGAUGUCCUUGCAGAAGUAUUUUUUUAGUAAGGUUGCAAUGUCCUUUGUACAAGAUUGUGUUUUUUGCAGAGUUUUUUUGUGAGAGUUUUUGUUAUCAAUCAUACAAGCAUAAGAACAUUCUCUUCAUAGCCUUUCUGGCUCCAUUUGCAAGGACAAUUUUAACAUUAAUGACUCCAUUUUAACUUUGACAACCUCCGAAAUUUUCAGUAAUAGCUGUGAUAAACCCAGCCUAAAUCCUUUUUAAUGCAACUUUGCUGCUCUGACAUAUGAACAGUAGCUGUAGAAAGACAAAUGUCUCAAAAAUAACUGUGAGUACAGCUUUGCAAAUAUUUCAUCUAGAAAUACCUCAAAGUAUUCUUGAGGGAGGCUUGCCAGCAAAAGCAGAACCAUUCUAGGGUAAAGGAGAUUAAAUGGUUCAAAUUCCAUAAAUGUCUUUGGGUCCCCAACUUUUUACAGGUAAAUAAGCUGGCUGAGAAAGCUAUCCAAUGGACUGGGUAGCUUCUUUUAUAGAGCAAUAUAUAAGAAAUGCCCAAGGCUCCAAUUGCAUAGCAUAACAAGGCCAUGAUUAAGGAUUAUUUACUACUUAUGAAGUAAAUUGGUCUAUUGCAGUCAUCUUUUUGUAUCCUUUGGGGGAUUGCUUCCAGAACCCAACUCCUUCCCCUAGGUACUGAAAUCCAUGAAAUCUCUAGUACCUUAUUUAAAAUAGCAUAGAAUGUGCAUAUGAUCUACAUCCCCCCACAUACUUCAAAUCAUCUCCAGAUUACUUAUAAUACCUAAUACAACACACACAUAUUAAUUCAUUGAAUGGAUUCAAUGUAGUACUUGGCAAACGGCAAAUUUAAGUUUUGUUUUUUUUUAAUUUUGUGUAUUUUUUUCUAAAUAUUUUUGAUCCUUGGUUUGUUGAAUUCAUGAAUGCAGAACACAUGGAUAUGGGGGCCAAACUGUAUAUCUAGCAGGUUUUCAGAAUUUUUUUGGAGGAGUGAUUGCUGUGUACCCUCCAUUCUCCCUUCUUUUGAAUAGGAGUAUUGUGAUAACAUCUCCCUUUCUCUUCAUUACAUGUUGAGAAUGUGUGGGAAGAUGGCUUGCAUUUUGAAUUCACAGAUCUAUGAAUUAAGAGAGGAGCUGCAUUUUAGAAGUUUAUCUCAAUAUGAAGUAAUACCAAGAUUUUGGACUUUGAACAUGAUGCCAUGCUUACAUAAGACUUUCAGAGUUCUUAGGGUCGGUGAGUAUAUUUUGCAUGUAGCAUUGAUAUGAUUAAUUGCAGCAAACUAAGAGCUAUCAUGUAUUGGUUGUACCAAUGGCUGUACUUAUUUCUCUUCCCACAUGCAUGCCACUUUUCAAUAUGAUUUUGUAGCUCCUUGCAUUAAAAUUCUGGAAUUGCCUUCUCAUUCACUUUGAACAAUAAAAUUAUGUGGAAGUGACACUGAGCUGGUUCUAAGCCAAAGCCUAAAAAAAUAUGACUAUUGCCUCUCCAUCUUUUGGAAAUCUACACAAUCACAUGAGUUGAAGCCAACGCUAACCUACUGGAUUAUAAGUGGUACAUGGCUCAAUCACCUCCAUCAUCUGAGCCAUCAGUCAUCUUAAGAGUUAGAAAACCUACUAAUAUGCUGUUGACUUCAAACAUACAUAUGAAGAAGUCCUGCUGAGGCCAGUUUAAAUUUUAGACCAACAGAAUCAUAGGCUAAUGAAAUGGAUGUUUUAAAUCACUAAACAUUGUGAUAGUUUUAUUUUCAGCAAUAUUGACUGAUACUGAUAAUGACUGACGGAUUGAAAUAGUUUCAGAUUAGGUGUGCUCUCAGGAAAGGGCACAGGAAUGAAUAAAGAAACUCACCAUGAGAAUAAGUAAUGACUUUGCGGGUGACCCAGGUACAAUAACUGAGCCAAUUAUUUUAAAGUAAAGUUAGCUGCAGUGGCACAAUGUGGCUGAGUUCAGCAUAGUUUUCCCUCUGGCUAUCCUGACAUUACUGAGCAUGCUAUAGACAUGUGAAUAAAAAGCUGAAAAAUAAAAUAUGACAUUAUUUAAAGUAUCAUCUAAUGAUGGCACAAGGCUUAAAUGUUACCCUAAAGAGAAAGACCUCCUCCUCUUACCACUUCCCCAUGAGGAAAUAUGCUAACCUCACUAACUUGGUCAUUACUAGAAUAAAUAAUAAAGUAGGGACUUGUGAAAACUUUCUAUUUAUGGCAACAAUAGCAUAUGGCCACAACAGCAGUAAAAUGACAAAUGUUAGGGGAAAUUAUUAGACCUUCAGAUGUUCUUUCCUUGUCCUAUGGGCACUCUUCCCUGUUCCUCUCACUAAGUAUAGUAUAGUAUAGUAUAGUACUUCGUGAGAGAAACAGGCAAGAGUGCCCGUAAGACAAGUAAACACAAUUUUAGAACUUUAAAAGGAAAAAUCAAACCACCUACUUGUAUUUGUUCAUUGCUAGUCUCACCUCAGCUCCUUGAACUGAAUCUGGCUAUUAGCAUAUAUUCCAAAAAUAUUUGUUGAAUGAAUGUUCAUAAUAUAUGAUAUAAUGAAUGUUCAUAAAUAUAUGAACAUUAAAAAGUGAUAUGAUCUUCCUUUGAAUUUUAUACUGGUGAGAUAAAAACAUUAAUCAUAAUAACAAUAUGCAAGUUAUGUAAGGCUAUAAAAAUAAUCAUUUUCCUAAAACAAUAAAAAUAUACAGUUUUUUAUACUUGGUACUUCAAAAAGUACCAAAAUAUACAUUGCUAAUCCAAUUAUAAAUGAAACUGUAUUAAGUAUCCAACACUGUGUCAAGAAAUAGAUAUCAUUUUCCCUAUUUUAAAAACAACAAAAAUUAGAAGAGAUUAAGUGGUUUACUCAAGGGCAAAUAAUUAGUCAAUCAUGGAUUUUGAACUCAGAUCCUGAUAUGGUUUUGUUCUGUGUCCCCACCCAAAUCUCAUCUCAAAUUGUAAUCCCCAUGUAUCAAGGGAGGAACCUGGUGGAAGGUGAUGGAAUCAUGGGAGUGGUUUCCCCAUGCUUUUCUCAUGAUAGUGAGUGAGUUCUUAUGAGAUCUGAUGGUUUAAAAGUGUUUUGCACAUCCGCCCACCCCCAAUACUGCUGCCAAGUAAGAUGAACCUUACUUCCCCUUCGCCUUCUCCCAUUAUUGUAAGUUUCUUGAGGCCAUCCCAGCCACUCAGAAUUCUGAGUCAAUUAAACCUCUUUUAUUUAAAAAUUACCAAGUAUCAGGCAGUUCUUCACAGCAAUGUGAAAACAGACUAAUACAUAAAUUGGUACCAGGAAGGGGGUACUGCUAUAAAGAUAAACUGAAUAUGUAGAAGUGACUUUGGAACUGGGUAACAGGCAGAGGUUGGAAUAGUUUGGAGGGUUCAGAAGAAGACAAGAGUAUGCGGAAAAGUCCUAGAGACUUGUUGAAUGGUUUUGACCAACAUGCUGCUAGUGAUAUCGACAAUGAAGUCCAGCCUGAGGUGGUCUCAGAUGGAGAUGAGGAAAUUUUUGGGAACCAGAGUAAAAGGUCACUCUUGCUAUGUUUUAGCAAAGAGACUGGUGGCAUUUUGGCCUCACCCUAGAGAUCUGUGGAACUUUGAACUUGAGAGAUUGUUUAGGGUAUCAGUUGGAAGAAAUUUCUAAGCAGAAAACUGGCAUUUUCUGAAAGUGUAGUCCCAUAUGUGGAAACACAGAGGUUAUCUGAAACUGGAAAUUUUGUUUAAAAGGAAAGCAGAGCAUAAAAGUUUGAAAUAUUUUGGCCUCACCCUAGAGAUCUGUGGAACUUUGACCUUGAGAGAUUGUUUAGGGUAUCAGUUGGAAGAAAUUUCUAAGCAGAAAACUGGCAUUUUCUGAAAGUGUAGUCCCGUAUGUGUAAACAAAGAGGUUAUCUGAAACUGGAAAUUUUGUUUAAAAGAAAAGCAGAGCAUAAAAGUUUGAAAUAUUUGCAGCCUGACCAUUCAGUAGAAACAAAAAACCCAUAUUCUAGGGAGAAAUUCAAGUCAGAUGCAUAAAUCUGCAUAAAUAAUGAGGAGCUGAAUGUUAAGACAAUGGGAAAAGUGUCUCCAGGUUAUAUGAAAGAUCUUUGUGUCAUCCCCACCCAUCACAGGCCUGGAGACCUAAGAGGGAAAAAUGGUUUUGUGGGUCAGGCCAGGGCCUAGCUGCUCUGUGCAGGCUUAGGACAUGGUGCCCUGAAUCCCAGCUGCUCCAGCUCCAGCCAUGGCUCAAACAAGCAAAAGUGCAGCUCAGGUCGUUGCUUCAGAGGGUACAAGCCCCAAGCACUGGCAACUUCCAAGUGGUGCUGGGCCUGUGGGCAUGCAAAAGACAAGAGGUGAUCUUUGGGAACUUCUGCUUAGAUUUCAGAGGAUGUAUGGAAAGGCCUCAAUAUCCAAGCAGAAGUCUGCUGCAGGGGCAGAGCCCUCAUGGAAAACCUCUACUAGGGCAAUACAGAGGAGAAAUGUGUGGUUGGAGCCCCAACACUGAGUGCCCAUUGGGGCAGUGCCUAGUGGAGCUGUGAGAAGAUGGCCACCAUCCUCCAUACACCAGAAAGGUAGAUCCAUUGACAGCUUGCACUGUGCACUUGGAAAAACAGCAGACACUCAAUGCCAGCCUGUGAAAGCAGUCAUGGGGUAUGUACCCUGAAGAGCCACAGAGGCAGAGCUGCCCAAGUCCUUGGGAGCCCACCCCUUGUAUCAGCAUGCCUAAGUGUGAGACAUGGAAUCAAAGGAGGUCAUUUUGGAGCUUUAAGAUUUAAUUGCUGACCCACUGGAUUUUGGAAUUUCAUGAAGCCAGUAGCUCCUUCAUAUUGGCCAAUUUAUCCCAUUUGGAAUGGGAGCACUUAUCCAAUGCCUAUACACCCAUUGUAUCUUGGAAGUUACUAACUUGCUUUUGAUUUUACAGGUUCCUAGGUGGAAGGGACUUGCCUUGUCUCACAUGAGAGUUUGGAUUGCAGACUUCUGAGAUAAUGCUGAAAUGAAUUAAGAGUUUGGGGUACUGGUUGGGAAGGCACGAUUGGUUUUGAAAUGUAAGAGGACAUGAGAUUUGGUCGGGGCCAGGGGUGGAAUGAUAUGGUCUGGCUCUGUGUCUGUACCCAAAUCUCAUCUUGAAUUGUAAUUCCCAUGUGGCAAAGGAGGGACCUGGUGGGAGGUGAUUGAAUCAUGAGGACAGUUUCCCUCAUGCUGUUCUCAUGAAAGCAAGUGAGUUCUCAUGAGAUCUGAUUGUUUAAAAGUGUUUGGCAGUUCUUUUUCUUCUACUCCUUCUCUCUCUCUCUCUCUUUCUCUUUCGCUCUCUCUCCUGCCACCAUGUAAGACGUGCCUUGCUUCCCCUUUACCUUCUGCUGUAACUGUUAAGUUUCCUGAGGCCUUCUCAGCCAUGAAGAACUGUGAGUCAAUUAAACCUCAAAUGGGCUAAUACAGAUCCCUUGCUGUUCUUAUCACAGUAGCCCAUAAAUGAUGAGAGAAAAUAGUUUCUUAUUGAAAAUAUCUAAUGCUUGCUGUUUAAAGUUGACAAAUGGUAGAGCACAACUUGAUCAUUUGUACAUAACAUUUAAGAAAAUGUGGUAAUUUCAGUUUUAUGUUGAACAAACAUACCUGGGUAAGCAGUGAACCUGCAUUUUGGAUUCAGUUCUGAUAAAUAUAAUUAUGUAAUAACAAUAAGUAAACCACUUAAACUUUCUGGAAUACCUCUUUCCUCAUCUUUAAAAUGAACAGAGUAAGGUUUUCAACUCUAGUUUUUUACACACAGGCUUAUUUAAAAUUACAAUGUGCAAAACAAAUAGAAAUAUGUAUGCUAUGCUUGAAGGUAGCAAAGCAGAAGAAAUUUCUAACCUAAUCCCCAUAUUACAAUUUCCUCAGGGAUGACUACAGCAUCUACAAUGAACCAGGGUUCAGUUGGAACUAUCCUAAAAUGGUCAUAACCAGGGAUCUUCUAAAGUUCAUUUUAGUCAUAGGUGUGUUUUAUAUGGCAGUUAAAACUCUAUGAGAUCUGUAUUGGUCAUGUAUUGCAUGUAUUGCUGCAUGACAAAUUAUCUCAAAUUUAUGGCUUAAAACAACAAAGACUUAGUAUUUCACAAGCUAUGUGAUUCAGGAAUCUGGGAAUGGCUUAGCUGGGUAUAUUUGGCUCAGGAUAGCUCAAAAAGCCAUAGACAAGCUGUGGUCCUGGGUUGAAUUUAUUAAUAUCGCAGGGCUUGAUUCAGGCUGGAGGAUCUGCUUAUAAGCUCAUUCACGUGGCUAUUAGAAGGUCUUAGAAUAUGUAAUUCCAAACUUACUAACAUGGUUGUUACAGCCUUAAUUCUUUGCCAUGUAAGUUUUUCCAUAGAUUAUUCAAGUAUUUUUAUCAUAUGGCAGCUAAGGAUUUGAGAGUGUGCUAGAGAACACUUAAGGUGGAAGGCACAGUGGUGGCAAAAUCUAAUUUCAGAAGUGAAAUUGUAUCAUGUUCGCUGUAUUCUAUUCACCAAACACAUGCCACUAAGUCCAGCUCAUACUCACAGGGAUAAAAACAAAACUUCAUGUCUUGAAGGUAGAUGCAUCAAAUAAUUUGUGUACAACUGUUUAAAACCAUUGAAAGACCUGAUGGUGAAUUUUACUGGAGGCAGCUGCAUUCCUCAGGUGAUAUGAUUAUAAGCAAAAAAAGGUCAAUCUUUCUGAUAGAGAAUGUGAAAGUAAAUAAAUAUUAUUUAUAUUAUUUCAUGACGAGAUGCCACUUUGACUAAGCCAUAAAUGCAAAACCCCUAUUCACUCUCAUGCAUGAACUUACCUGAUCUCCAACAUAUUAUAUUUAAAUGAAUAUCAAUUAAAAUUCGACUAAUUUAUCAUUACUCAAUCCUACUCAAACUAUUCAGAAUCACUGAGUUCCAUAUAGAAAUAUCUCAAGAUCUCUACAUUAUAUUGAUGCCACAUUACCUUUGAAUGCUAAAUCCCCAACUAAUCUUUUCCUAAACAUUACUUAAUACUUUGCAAUAUAUCUGUCCUGCUAUUCAGUAAUCAACAUUCUGAGUAAUCCCUAGUAUUUUAAAAAGUCAAACAGCAACGGAAAAAUUGUUUCCCUUAGGAAUCUUAGAGGUGAACAAUCUGAAAAAAAAAUGAAUUAUAUUCAGGUUUUGAAAUGUGUUUCUCUUAAUGUACAUAUGAGUCACUAUCUUCUUUGAUACAUAUAAAUGGCAAAUGCAAUGUAAUAUAUAUUCUGCAAUUUCUGUACCACUUUUAUUAAGUACUAUUCAAAGUGCAAAAAUUGUAGUAAUUUCAAACAUGAUUUAUAAGGUUAUAUAUACAAAAAAAUUUGCAAUUUAAGUGGUUGAAAGGGAACAAUGAGCUCAUAUUUUAUAUUGAUAUAACAAUAAAGUCUCUUAGGAUUUAUUAGUAUUGGUAUCCUUGUCCUUCAAGUCCCAGUUAAAAUGGUAAGUUCCUUAUAAAAUUUUCUUCCCAGUAUAAUUACUUUUUUUUGUACUCUCUCUCAUCUCACUUGUACUUACAACAGUUAUCUCAUUGCAAUCCAGCACUCACUAGACUACAAGUUUUGUGAAUGUUGAGAAUGUGUUCUUAUAUCUCUUACUUUAAUAACUGUAAUACAAUUAUUUAUUUACAUAUCUUCAGCUCUAUCUUUGAAGUUUCUGUGCAAAACUAAGCUAAUCACCCAAUAAAUUUAAUAAUAAAACUACCAGAUAAACCAUCCAUAGUUGUAUUAGAAAAAAUUAAAAUUCUUUUUUGUAACAAACAAUCCCAAAUUCUCAACGGCUUAAAGCAAUGAAGGUUCAUUACCUAUUCAUUCCACAAGUCCAGUCCAGACCUAAAGGAGAGGUCAAUUUAUCGUCAUCACUAGGAGUGAUGGAAGAUGCUGGCAUUGCAGUACAAGGUUUCAGGAUUCAUCACAACUGGGUAAGAGAGCAUGAAGGAUCACUUAUCAGGUAUCAAGAGCUUCCACCUCCAAGUGGCACACACUACUUUUGUUCACAUUGCAAUGACCAUGAAACAAAUCACAUAUUCACAGCUGACUUCAAGACACUGUGUGGCCAGAAUGAAGAGUCAAAAUCCUGGUGACCACUAGUGAUGGCCUCUGCAAUAGUCAUUACAUAGUAUAGUAUAUAAUCUAUACACAGUUAAUGAAGAAAGACAAUCAGAGUAGUGAGCCAGAGCAUACAUGAUUAAUAUAAGUCAUUUAUAUGGAAGUUGGCUUAUUUUAAAAUAAUUUAUCACAAAUUUUAUUGUUUUAACUUGUAUCAUGACAUUAAAUGUAUGUAUAUAAUAUAUAUAGUAAAUAGUCAUCAUUGGAAGAAAAUAAUUUAAGAGCUAUGACAUAGAAAAUACAACAACGUUUUAUAGUAAUGAUUUUCUGUACUCUUAUAGUAUUACAAAUAUCUAUUUAUCUAAUCUUUAAAUAUUAAAUUUAAAAUAUUCUUCUAGUUGCCCUUCUUUUUCUAAUUUCCUGCCUCUGGUUUAUAUUGGAUCACUGGGUCCUGCCUAGAUACCAUUUCAUCAUUUCUCUGAUUUAGGUCCGCUUUUUCAACCAUAUUAAAAGAGUUCUUGUAUUUUCUAAGUAACCAGUUACAGAAAAAGUACGAUAAAUUAACAUAUUCAGCUCUCAUAUACAUGCACAAAUGUAAAUCUUUGUCUUGAAACUCAUAGAAAACAUUUUUCAAAGCAAAAGGAGUUAUGUUGAAUCUUGAAAAAUAAUGUCAUGAUUCUUAGUUGUUUUUGUUUAUUGCAUUUAACUUUUUGUUAUUUCUCUUUAGUUCAUAAUAGAUUCUAAUUUGGCAUAAUGAACAUUAUACCCACU
This 9845-nucleotide long non-coding RNA is filed under the name Homo sapiens (human). RNAcentral's name for it is "HSALNT0107914". The record is from RNAcentral. Lineage: Eukaryota; Metazoa; Chordata; Mammalia; Primates; Hominidae.